This is a long non-coding RNA of Triticum aestivum (bread wheat), 3659 nucleotides long. RefSeq lists it as uncharacterized. The transcript is spliced from 2 exons. NCBI's taxonomy places the organism in Eukaryota, Viridiplantae, Streptophyta, Magnoliopsida, Poales, Poaceae. The record is from RefSeq and is a predicted model, not a curated record.
UCGUCAUCGGCUUGAGCCCCACCAGUUCUUCCCCAAAUCUUGCAAAACCUAACCCUCAGCCCCGACCACACGGCCGCCGCCGCCACCAACCACUCGACCGCAGCGCCGGCUUCCUCCCGGAACACAGUCGCCGCCGACCGCCUAGUCGUCGCCGAGCACCCUUCUCUACCAAGGAAACCUUCGCCGCUUCGUCCCCAUCCCCCGCGCACCUAGCGCCUGCUUCCUCCCGAGGAAUGCCGCAGACCGCCCUCCAUCCCCACCACAACAGCGACCUCCUCCACAGGUUUCCUCCGCCGAGCAGGCCUCCUCCUCCUCAAGCUUUCUCCCCCGAACAGGGCCUCCUCCUCCACGAGCAUCCUUCCCCGAGCACUAAGUUGGGCCGCAUCCUGGUUCCCUCACCCGAGCAGCGGACCUUCCUGUACGGCCCCUCUCCUGAGAAGCUCCACCUCCUCUACAUCCUCCCCCAGGUGCAGCGCCACCUCCUUGCUCACCGAGAGCACUUGGCUGCAAAUGGAUGCUUCAACUACAUACUAAAUCAGUGAAUCCCAGUAGGUGUACUACAUGCAAGCUUCUGGAAAUUAAGUUUCAAGGUCGUGCUGCAAAUAUAGCUAGAGAAUUUCUUUCUGUCUAUUUUUUCUGCACAUGUAGACUGAAAGUGAAGUAACGCUUCUAGAGUUUAAUAGUUUUAACUAGUGAAUGUGUUAGUUUUAUGAAAAAUAGAUAUACAGGGUUUGAUCUGGAAUUUUCUUCUAUAAUUUUCUAUUGCCAGUUUGCCACUGCUCCCAGUCAUGUGAUUCAGGAAUUUAAUUAUUAGUAGUUGUCUAUCAUAGUAGAAAUCCCUUCAAGUGUUGCAACCUUUAUUAUUGAACUGAAAAACAUUUGCCUGAUAAUUUAAUUUUCUAGAGUAAAAUGAGAGCAAUUGGGUUUUGUACUGUCGCCCCUACUGGAAAUUGCAUGGCAUCAUGACUUAUUGAAUUACCAGAUCCCCUGUUCUUAAAACUGUUUUUAUUUAGCUUAACGCUUAAGAACAAAUUCAACCAAAGCUAUGUUCACAGAGAUGGUAAAUAGCUUAAGAUGUGCCUGUGGUUCAGAUUUUAGAGAAGACCUACUUGCGGUGCCACGUGCAAGUAAUAUGACCCUGGUAGUACAGUACCUUGUCAUGCAGGGCCACGAGUAAUAUAAGACUAUUGUUUUGUUGCUGAUAAUUAGAACGUUUGGAUGCUCGUUGUUUAGGUUCUGCGUCUAGUUUGGUAGUAGUGCUGGUGUGUGUGGCUUAGUUUCUGAUGUUUUGAGGUACCCCUGGAAGGGGACGAACUUGAGACAUGUGAUGUUUUCAGUAAUGAAAAUUGGGAGAUAUGCUCCUAAGUAGAUUUUCUUUUGAAGAAUUGGGUCAUGGGGCUAGCUGACUACCAUGCUCUUUUCUCCUAUAUGUAAUUCUUACAAACCGUUCCCUAAUUUUCAUUUGAUGCUUUCACUGAAUUAAUAUUUUGGAUUGUUUGUUUUGUGAUCAGUGUGCAUCUUGUUUGUCCUCUCCACCAAGCAGCAUCGGCUACUCCAUACAAGCACAUAAGCUUAUGCUCUUAUGAUUAUAUAUUUACCAAUGACUAUUAUGGUUGAUAGUUUUAAAGUCUUUGCUUCUAUCUAUGCAGUUGAGAAUGACUUAUAAGUUCAUGGCAAAAGCAGCAACAUGAGUACGCAACCACAAGCAAGCUGAGGGGGUAAUAAUUUUGGUAGUUAAGUCUUGGAUUCAGGUUUUUGCUUUUGGAUACAUGUUUGCUGCCAUUUCAGAACAUUGAAACCUAUUUAGCAUUUCGUUUCUUAUAUGCUUCAUGCAAAUAAAACUGCAGUAAACAUAUGAGCCGAGAUUUUGCUUGGCAUGUGUAUGUAUGCAUGCCCUGAAUUUGCUUAGCAUUUUUAUGCAUACAACUAUUGGAAGCUUUUACAUGUCCUGGAUCUGAGCUUUUGCAUGCCCUGUGUUUUCUGAAGCUGAGUCUUUUGUUAUUGGCUAGUACUUGAAACAGAGUCGCAGGCCUCCUGCCAUAUAACCAUUUAUGAAGUGCAUAUGUGAUGCCUUAUCUUGUAUUCCUACACAUAGUAUAGUAUUUUUUUCAUGUGUAAAAAGUGGCUGACCUGGCAUUACACUGUUAAGUAUUUUGUACACAUCUGGAAUCUUGUUGUAGAUACACACUGAGCUGAAAAUGAUGCUAGCAGAAAUAGGUUUUCUGUUAGCUACGCAUCUGGUUUAAAACAUGAUAUGACUACUUGCUCUGUAAUAGUAACGCCUUGAUAUUAUCUGAUCCUAUCUCAUGUAUAUUUUAGUUAUUUCUAGACAAAACUUUAGGAACCGAGUUCACUACAACUCGAAGUCUUGUGCAUGGAGGAGAAUUGAGAUAUUUGCGCAUUCUGUACUGGUCAAAAGGUAUGUGUAGAUAUUCUGCUCAUUCUAGUUCAUGCUGCUACUUUAUUAAGGUCUUCUUUUAUGAGCCUCUACCUUAUGCAAAUAAUAUGAUUAUUUAGCAGCCUGGUUUCAUAGCUUUGAAUGUCAUGUGAAUAAACUAUAUGUCUAGGUGUUUGCUGUUCUUUGCUGAACUAGAUAUCGAAGUAUAGACAACAAGCUCAUGUACAAGAUGGAAAUUAUGAUGGUUAUUUAGUUUAUUUCAUUGAUUCUCGGCAUAUUAAUUGAUUGUAACGUUCUAGCUUUAUUUAAGGAGAUGUAAAAGAAACAACAAGUAAUCUCCUUUUCCUUUCUUUUCACAAUUGUCAUGAUUUUAUAUGACCUUUUUUAGUCAAUCUGUUGUCGUCGGUCUGAAUUUUUAGAUAAUUAAAAUUUGUGAUGGAUUCUUAAAUUGAUUAGGAAGACUGGAUUUGUAAAACUUUGUUUGUGUCGCUGGAUGCAGAUCUUUUAUGUCCUUCCAAUACCUUGAACUAACUAUUUUCUCUGCAGUUACAUAUAUGCAUAUCUUAUGCUCAUUUGCCGGGCUUGACCAAAGUUUGGCCGACCUUUUGGUGUCUAUUAUUUGUGUAAGUUUCAUCGCUUUAGAAGUAAUAUCAAUCCAAAGCUUUUCUUCAAUAGAGCAAUUCAGCUAGUAUGUUCGCAAGCAAAUUUAUGCCAGGACAAGUACUAGUAGUGGAGCCAAGAACAUAUUAGGGCACGAUAUUUAAUGGAUUAUUCACGUAGGUUCCUGGCAAACUUUGCUAUCAAUUCUGUUCCCAUAUCCUCGGGCAUGCGAAAUCCCCCCUCAAGAGGCGAGCCAUUAGUGUUUGAUGUCUGAGCCUAUCUCCAUUUUUUGUGCUACAAUAUAGAUAGUUUACCAAGGUUAUUAGCUUAUAGCAGAUCUACCAUCUUCUCCUUUUAGGUUGGCAUCAUGGUUGGAAGAUCUUCUAUGCUACUCUCUACAUGAUGUUUCUUCUACAUGAUAGCGCUUGAAGUCUACAUGAUGUUUCUUGUAUUCAUAGCUCAAACCAUUUGUUUAGCUUAGUUUGAACAAAAAAUAUUAUUGUCUUACAUGUAAAUAAUGUUUACUAAUGUAGCUGGAUGCUACUGAACGCAUGUACGAAAGUCAAAAUACUAAAGUGUUAGUCAUUACGUGUUUGACAACUGCUGUUGAAUCUUGAGUGAAUUCUUGUAUGAAUAGAAAAAAUGCCACCAAAUUCCUGUA